This 237-nucleotide ribosomal RNA is filed under the name uncultured Staphylococcus sp. Its description in RNAcentral is "partial 16S ribosomal RNA". It matches the Rfam family "Bacterial small subunit ribosomal RNA", at positions 103 to 334 of the family's 1533-position model. Lineage: Bacteria; Bacillati; Bacillota; Bacilli; Caryophanales; Staphylococcaceae. The record is from RNAcentral.
CGGGUGAGUAACACGUGGAUAACCUACCUAUAAGACUGGGAUAGCUUCGGGAAACCGGAGCUAAUACCGGAUAAUAUAUUGAACCGCAUGGUUCAAUAGUGAAAGACGGUUUUGCUGUCACUUAUAGAUGGAUCCUCGCCGCAUUAGCUAGUUGGUAAGGUAACGGCUUACCAAGGCAACGAUGCGUAGCCGACCUGAGAGGGUGAUCGGCCACACUGGAACUGAGACACGGUCCAG